CCUACGGGCGGCAGCAGUAAGGAAUAUUGGUCAAUGGGCGGAAGCCUGAACCAGCCAAGUCGCGUGAAGGAAGAAGGAUCUAUGGUUUGUAAACUUCUUUUAUAGGGGAAUAAAGGUAUCCACGUGUGGAUAUUUGCAUGUACCCUAUGAAUAAGCAUCGGCUAACUCCGUGCCAGCAGCCGCGGUAAUACGGAGGAUGCGAGCGUUAUCCGGAUUUAUUGGGUUUAAAGGGUGCGUAGGCGGGCUUUUAAGUCAGCGGUAAAAAUUCGGGGCUCAACCCCGUCCGGCCGUUGAAACUGGGGGCCUGGAGUGGGCGAGAAGAAGGCGGAAUGCGUGGUGUAGCGGUGAAAUGCAUAGAUAUCACGCAGAACCCCGAUUGCGAAGGCAGCCUUCCGGCGCCCUACUGACGCUGAGGCACGAAAGUGCGGGGAUCGAACAGGAUUAGAUACCCGUGUAGUC
This 459-nucleotide ribosomal RNA is filed under the name uncultured bacterium. RNAcentral describes it as "partial 16S ribosomal RNA". It matches the Rfam family "Bacterial small subunit ribosomal RNA", at positions 338 to 795 of the family's 1533-position model. The record is from RNAcentral.